RNAcentral lists this ribosomal RNA (440 nucleotides) under uncultured bacterium. RNAcentral describes it as "partial 16S ribosomal RNA". It matches the Rfam family "Bacterial small subunit ribosomal RNA", at positions 338 to 795 of the family's 1533-position model. The record is from RNAcentral.
CCUACGGGUGGCAGCAGUGGGGAAUAUUGCACAAUGGGGGAAACCCUGAUGCAGCGACGCCGCGUGAGUGAAGAAGUAUUUCGGUAUGUAAAGCUCUAUCAGCAGGGAAGAAAAUGACGGUACCUGACUAAUAAGCCGCGGCUAACUACGUGCCAGCAGCCGCGGUAAUACGUAGGGGGCAGGCGUUAUCCGGAUGUACGGGUUGGAAAGGGAGCGUAGACGGCAGAGCAAGUCCGGAGGGAAAGCCCAUGGCAGAACCAUGGGACGGCUUUGGAAACUGUGUAGCUGGAGGGCGGGAGAGGGAAGGGGAAUUCCUAGGGUAGGGGGGAAAGGCGUAGAUAUGAGGAGGAACACCAGUGGCGAAGGGGGUUCAAUGGACUGUAACGGACGUUGAGGCUCGAAAGGGUGGGGAGCAAACAGGAUUAGAUACCCGAGGAGUC